Molecule: ribosomal RNA, 418 nt
Filed under: unidentified beta proteobacterium 52243
Lineage: Bacteria; Pseudomonadati; Pseudomonadota; Betaproteobacteria; Nitrosomonadales; Nitrosomonadaceae
Description: bacterial SSU rRNA
Rfam family: Bacterial small subunit ribosomal RNA
Source: RNAcentral
CCUUGUGCUUUUGGAGCGGCCGAUGCCUGAUUAGCUAGUUGGUGGGGUAAAGGCCUACCAAGGCUUCGAUCAGUAGUUGGUCUGAGAGGACGACCAGCCACACUGGGACUGAGACACGGCCCAGACUCCUACGGGAGGCAGCAGUGGGGAAUUUUGGACAAUGGGGGCAACCCUGAUCCAGCCAUGCCGCGUGAGUGAAGAAGGCCUUCGGGUUGUAAAGCUCUUUCAGUCGGGAAGAAAAGGUUACGGUUAAUAACCGUAACUCAUGACGGUACCGACAGAAGAAGCACCGGCUAACUACGUGCCAGCAGCCGCGGUAAUACGUAGGGUGCGAGCGUUAAUCGGAAUUACUGGGCGUAAAGGGUGCGCAGGAGGUUUUGUAAGUCAGAUGUGAAAUCCCCGGGCUUAACCUGGGAAC